CUCCUAGCCUCAAGUGAUCCUCCCUCCUUGGCCUCCCAAAGGGUCAGGAUUACAGGUGUCUGAGAAUGGGAGCUGAGGCCCCAGCAAGGGACAACCACCAACACUUUGGCCCACAAUGAGGUACCCCCCUUUUUAAACAGGAGGGAUUUAAACAAGGUUUGAGUCCACUUUGGCCCACAAUGAGGGAGGUCACAACCCCACCACAGAGUCUAUUCUCAGAGAAGAGACUACUGCAUAAAGGCCAGGGGCCUGACACACACACCCGUGAGCAAGCAGAGUGGGCACGGGGACAUAUGGGAUGGCCUUUAGCUCUGUGCACACCUCCACUGCAAGUGCUAGGAGCCUGCCCCCUCACUCCCACCACACACACACACUCACCCACACAGAAACACAUUCACUCACACCUAACCAGUCCCCCAGUGAGACUGAUUCAGCCUCUUCAAUGUCUCUGGAUGCUACAGCUUUCCCUUUAUCAAGCUGACACUACCUGGCUUCAGGCCUCAUGGUCCUCCACCCAGAGUAGUGGAUCAACCUCCUCUCUGGAUCCCUGCCAUCCACGCUCCAGCCUGCAGCCAGAGGGAAUUUAUGAAAUGCAAACUACACCUCUGAUGGGAAGGGCAGAGAGAGAAUGAACUGAGGCUGUUCAAACCCGAGGGUCUGGAGCAGGCCCAGCUCCUGCAUGGAGUGCGUGGGAACUUUGGGCAACACUGACAGUGUCCUCGCCAUCAUCACUGCUGUUACUAUAAUGGCCAGCAAUAAAUGAUGAGGGGAGGGCAACCGCUUAACUCC
RNAcentral lists this long non-coding RNA (789 nucleotides) under Homo sapiens (human). Its description in RNAcentral is "non-protein coding lnc-SLC5A9-12:2". Lineage: Eukaryota; Metazoa; Chordata; Mammalia; Primates; Hominidae. The record is from RNAcentral.